UGAUGUUCUGGAAUGUCCGCAUGCACCGAUUUCAUCAGGGACAGAGGCGCUCUUUGAUGAAGCAUCUGCAAAACGCGUUCAUCAGGUUGGACAAAGAAAAGUAACAGGACUUAAGUGGUGCAUCUGGACAGAAGAGUUCCUACAGUGAACCACCUGAGCUAAUCUGGUACAAGCUCCAUUCUCAGAUUCCCUCGGAAACAAUGGGGAAAAUACAUUAUGCUGGAUCUCCGUGCCUCUGGUCCAACCAGUAAUGAUGCUGAAGAUAUGUUUCAGUUUCCCUAUCGGCAAAUCAGGUUGCGGUUGAAAAACUAUUAAGAAUAGCACAACCCAUUACUAAGUCUGAAGACUGCACAUGGAACUCACACAUAGUAUGGGAAGAUGAACAUGAGAGAGACAGCAGCACCAUGUGACAGGUAAGUCCUCUUAACAAAUAUGUUUGUUUAGGAAUCUGUUUGAGCUGUGUUACCAUCAGGAGAAAUUCUCCCUUUCAAAAGCAGUAUUUCAAUAGCAAUAGCGGCAGGAAGAGCAACAAUGAUUAGAAAGCAAUUUAAAGAACCUAGUGGGGCAGAAAAUGUGCUUGCCACAGCCACACAAAGCAAAUGUAGUUUCAGUUGACUGGCAAAGAGGCAGCCAAGCAUCAGUAGAAACAAGAAAUCCCUAUUGUCCGGAAGGUAUCAAAUUCCCUGGAAGAAAAUUGCUUUUCUACCUAGUAUCUCUGAAAUAAGAAUAUAAUUACACAUGUAAUGCAGGAGCUCUGCAACUACCUCUCAGAACUCAAAAGCUUGUCAUAUAUGA
Molecule: long non-coding RNA, 795 nt
Organism: Coturnix japonica (Japanese quail)
Lineage: Eukaryota; Metazoa; Chordata; Aves; Galliformes; Phasianidae
Source: RefSeq, a predicted model, not a curated record